Molecule: ribosomal RNA, 548 nt
Filed under: uncultured Bacilli bacterium
Lineage: Bacteria; Bacillati; Bacillota; Bacilli
Description: bacterial SSU rRNA
Rfam family: Bacterial small subunit ribosomal RNA
Source: RNAcentral
CGGGAGCUUGCUCCCUUAGGUCAGCGGCGGACGGGUGAGUAACACGUGGGUAACCUGCCUGUAAGACUGGGAUAACUCCGGGAAACCGGGGCUAAUACCGGAUGCUUGAUUGAACCGCAUGGUUCAAUCAUAAAAGGUGGCUUUCAGCUACCACUUACAGAUGGACCCGCGGCGCAUUAGCUAGUUGGUGAGGUAACGGCUCACCAAGGCGACGAUGCGUAGCCGACCUGAGAGGGUGAUCGGCCACACUGGGACUGAGACACGGCCCAGACUCCUACGGGAGGCAGCAGUAGGGAAUCUUCCGCAAUGGACGAAAGUCUGACGGAGCAACGCCGCGUGAGUGAUGAAGGUUUCCGGAUCGUAAAACUCUGUUGUUAGGGAAGAACAAGUACCGUUCGAAUAGGGCGGCACCUUGACGGUACCUAACCAGAAAGCCACGGGCUUAACUACGUGCCAGCAGCCCGGCGGGUAAUACGGUAGGUGGCAAGCGUUGGUCCGGAAUUAUUGGGGCGUAAAGCGCGCGCAGGCGGUUUCUUAAGUCUGAUGUG